Molecule: ribosomal RNA, 492 nt
Filed under: uncultured bacterium
Lineage: Bacteria
Description: partial 16S ribosomal RNA
Rfam family: Bacterial small subunit ribosomal RNA
Source: RNAcentral
AGUGAACGCUGGCGGUAGGCCUAACACAUGCAAGUCGAACGGCAGCACAGUAAGAGCUUGCUCUUACGGGUGGCGAGUGGCGGACGGGUGAGGAAUAAAUCGGAAUCUACUUUUUCGUGGGGGAUAACGUAGGGAAACUUACGCUAAUACCGCAUACGACCUACGGGUGAAAGCAGGGGAUCUUCGGACCUUGCGCGAUUGAAUGAGCCGAUGUCGGAUUAGCUAGUUGGCGGGGUAAAGGCCCACCAAGGCGACGAUCCGUAGCUGGUCUGAGAGGAUGAUCAGCCACACUGGAACUGAGACACGGUACAGACUCCUACGGGAGGCAGCAGUGGGGAAUAUUGGACAAUGGGCGCAAGCCUGAUCCAGCCAUACCGCGUGGGUGAAGAAGGCCUUCGGGUUGUAAAGCCCUUUUGUUGGGAAAGAAAAGCAGCAGGUUAAUACCCCGCUGUUCUGACGGUACCCAAAGAAUAAGCACCGGCUAACUUCGUG